CCAAUAGCGUAUAUUAAAGUUGCUGCAGUUAAAAAGCUCGUAGUUGAAUUUCGGGACUAAUAUGUCGGUCGUGCCUCGGUACGUACUGGUAUUUUUGGUUUCUCCCUUCUGACGAACCUUGAUGUCAUUAAUUUGGUGUCUUGGGAAAUCAGGACUGUUACUUUGAAAAAAUUAGAGUGUUUAAAGCAGGCUCACGCUUGAAUACAUUAGCAUGGAAUAAUGAAAUAGGACGUUUGAUUCUAUUUUGUUGGUUUCUAGGAUCGACGUAAUGAUUAAUAGGGAUAGUUGGGGGCAUUAGUAUUCAAUUGUCAGAGGUGAAAUUCUUGGAUUUAUUGAAGACUAACUACUGCGAAAGCAUUUGCCAAGGAUGUUUUCAUUAAUCAAGAACGAAAGUUAGGGGAUCGAAGACGAUCAGAUACCGUCGUAGUCUUAACCAUAAACUAUGCCGACUAGGGAUCGGAUGAUGUUAAUUUUUUAAUGACUCAUUCGGCGCCUUACA
This 499-nucleotide unclassified non-coding RNA is filed under the name uncultured Glomus. Its description in RNAcentral is "SSU rRNA". It matches the Rfam family "Eukaryotic small subunit ribosomal RNA", at positions 591 to 1092 of the family's 1831-position model. The record is from RNAcentral. Lineage: Eukaryota; Fungi; Glomeromycota; Glomeromycetes; Glomerales; Glomeraceae.